Molecule: ribosomal RNA, 445 nt
Filed under: uncultured bacterium
Lineage: Bacteria
Description: bacterial SSU rRNA
Rfam family: Bacterial small subunit ribosomal RNA
Source: RNAcentral
ACCAGACUCCUACGGGAGGCAGCAGUGGGGGAUAUUGCACAAUGGGGGGAACCCUGAUGCAGCGACGCCGCGUGGGUGAAGAAGCGCCUCGGCGCGUAAAGCCCUGUCAGCAGGGAAGAAAAUGACGGUACCUGAAGAAGAAGCCCCGGCUAACUACGUGCCAGCAGCCGCGGUAAUACGUAGGGGGCAAGCGUUAUCCGGAUUUACUGGGUGUAAAGGGGGCGCAGACGGCGAUGCAAGCCAGGAGUGAAAGCCCGGGGCCCAACCCCAGGACUGCUCUUGGAACUGCGUGGCUGGAGUGCAGGAGGGGCAGGCGGAAUUCCUGGUGUAGCGGUGAAAUGCGUAGAUAUCAGGAGGAACACCGGUGGCGAAGGCGGCCUGCUGGACUGCAACUGACGUUGAGGCCCGAAAGCGUGGGGAGCAAACAGGAUUAGAUACCCGAGUA